This 301-nucleotide ribosomal RNA is filed under the name uncultured bacterium. Its description in RNAcentral is "partial 16S ribosomal RNA". It matches the Rfam family "Bacterial small subunit ribosomal RNA", at positions 509 to 807 of the family's 1533-position model. The record is from RNAcentral.
CAGCCGCCGCGGGAAUACGAAGGGGGCUAGCGUUGUUCGGAAUCACUGGGCGUAAAGCGCACGUAGGCGGACUUUUAAGUCAGGGGUGAAAUCCCAAGGCUCAACCUUGGAACUGCCUUUGAUACUGGAAGUCUUGUGUUCAGGAGAGGUGAGUGGAACUGCGAGUGCAGAGGUGAAAUUCGUAGAUAUUCGCAAGAACACCAGUGGCGAAGGCGGCUCACUGGCCCGAUACUGACGCUGAGGUGCGAAAGCGUGGGGAGCAAACAGGAUUAGAUACCCGUGUAGUCCCUGUCUCUUAUAC